This is a long non-coding RNA of Alosa alosa (allis shad), 694 nucleotides long. RefSeq lists it as uncharacterized. Lineage: Eukaryota; Metazoa; Chordata; Actinopteri; Clupeiformes; Clupeidae. The transcript has 5 exons. The record is from RefSeq and is a predicted model, not a curated record.
GCGCGCUGACGCUAAAACACAGGGGCAGUCCGCUGAAACUGGAUAACAGCUCGAGCGCUUGAGGAGUGCAGACGGAAGAGAAGAGGAGCCACGGCAACAUUGUAACAUGAAGGAGAGACGAAGAAACAAGACGACGUCAAAACGACCGAAAUCCGCAAGAAAAAUGGCAACACUGUGUCCAGAUCUACAUACAGAAUAUUUGAGACGAGUUAUGGAUCCAUCAUGAAGCAGUGAAUUAUUGAAAACUCAAUGAAAGACAACAAGUCAAGAGGAGCUUUGCCUGGGCAGGGAGUUUCCAGUGCUGGACCGUAGUAACAAUUAGCCAGUAUGUGAACUGCAAGGCUUCAGCAGGAAUCCAGAAAAACCUGAAGACUACUCUACCCCAUACAACUGGAGAUUCACGAGGAGACGGAAGGAGAAGGAGGCGAAUAUUAUUUUUUCCCUUUUUCCUUUUCUUAUCUUUUGUGCUGAUUGCAAUUUGGAAUGUCAGAUGUUUUGCUUUUGCUUGUAAUUGUUGAUGUGGCUGCAUCAAUAAUGUGAUUUUAAAAUGGAGUUGAACUGUCCUUUUGCUGUGAUUGAGUUUUAAUUUGAUUUAUUUAAAACGUUCAGUGUCUUCUCAUUCAAGGAAAGUAAAUGUUAUGUAUAAUUUCAAAUUCGAAUGUAAUUUUGAUAAAUAAAAUAGUAAAUUAUUGAA